CCUACGGGUUGCAGCAGUGGGGAAUAUUGCGCAAUGGCCGAAAGGCUGACGCAGCGACGCCGCGUGUGGGACGACGGCCUUCGGGUUGUAAACCACUGUCGGGAGGAACGAAUACCGGACGUCGAAUAGGCGAUCCGGGGUGACGGUACCUCCAAAGGAAGCACCGGCUAACUCCGUGCCAGCAGCCGCGGUAAUACGGAGGGUGCGAGCGUUGUCCGGAAUCACUGGGCGUAAAGGGCGCGUAGGCGGCUCAUUAAGUGGCUGGUGAAAUCCCGGGGCUCAACUCCGGGGCUGCCGGUCAGACUGGAGGGCUGGAGCACGGUAGAGGCGGAUGGAAUUCCCGGUGUAGCGGUGGAAUGCGUAGAGAUCGGGAAGAAUACCGGUGGCGAAGGCGUUCCGCUGGGCCGUUGCUGACGCUGAGGCGCGACAGCGUGGGGAGCAGACAGGAUUAGAUACCCCGGUAGUC
RNAcentral lists this ribosomal RNA (466 nucleotides) under uncultured bacterium. RNAcentral describes it as "bacterial SSU rRNA". It matches the Rfam family "Bacterial small subunit ribosomal RNA", at positions 338 to 795 of the family's 1533-position model. The record is from RNAcentral.